GACGAACGCUGGCGGCGUGCUUAACACAUGCAAGUCGAACGGGUCUGCCCUGUUUUUUGCGGGGUGGGUCAGUGGCGAACGGGUGAGUAACACGUGAGUAACCUGCCCCUCACUUCUGGAUAACCGCUUGAAAGGGUGGCUAAUACGGGGUGUUCUGGCUGUGCCGCAUGGUGUGGCUGGGAAAGAUUCACUUUUGUGGUGUUUUGGUGGGGGAUGGGCUCGCGGCCUAUCAGCUUGUUGGUGGGGUGAUGGCCUGCCAAGGCUUUGACGGGUAGCCGGCCUGGGAGGGUGGGCGGGCAAACUGGGACUGAGAUACGGCCCAGACUCCUGCGGGAAGCAGCAGUGGGGGGUAUUGCACAAUGGGCGGAAGCCUGAUGCAGCGACGUCGCGGGAGGGAUGGAGGCCUUCGGGUUGUGAACCUCUUUCGCCGGUGAAGAAGGUCCUGCUCUUUGUGGUGGGGUUGACGGUAGCCGGGUUAUGAAGCGCCGGCUAACUACGUG
Molecule: ribosomal RNA, 500 nt
Filed under: uncultured bacterium
Lineage: Bacteria
Description: partial 16S ribosomal RNA
Rfam family: Bacterial small subunit ribosomal RNA
Source: RNAcentral